Molecule: transfer RNA, 74 nt
Filed under: Aphyllon uniflorum var. uniflorum
Lineage: Eukaryota; Viridiplantae; Streptophyta; Magnoliopsida; Lamiales; Orobanchaceae
Description: tRNA-Gly
Rfam family: tRNA
About the family: Transfer RNA (tRNA) molecules are approximately 80 nucleotides in length. Their secondary structure includes four short double-helical elements and three loops (D, anti-codon, and T loops). Further hydrogen bonds mediate the characteristic L-shaped molecular structure. tRNAs have two regions of fundamental functional importance: the anti-codon, which is responsible for specific mRNA codon recognition, and the 3' end, to which the tRNAs corresponding amino acid is attached (by aminoacyl-tRNA synthetases). tRNAs cope with the degeneracy of the genetic code in two manners: having more than one tRNA (with a specific anti-codon) for a particular amino acid; and 'wobble' base-pairing, i.e. permitting non-standard base-pairing at the 3rd anti-codon position.
Source: RNAcentral
GCGGGUAUAGUUUAGUGGUAAAACCCUAGCCUUCCAAGCUAAUGAUGCGGGUUCGAUUCCCGCUACCCGCCUAU